CACCGCGGUUAUACGAGAGGCCCAAGUCAAUAGCUUCCGGCGUAAAGAGUGGUUAGGAUGCCCCUAAACUAGAGCCCUACGCCCUCAUGGCUGUUAUACGCACCCGAGAGGCGGAUGAACUUCCACGAAAGUGGCUUUAAUUAUACUGAACCCACGAAAGCUAUAAAA
RNAcentral lists this ribosomal RNA (168 nucleotides) under Trachipterus arcticus (dealfish). RNAcentral describes it as "partial small subunit ribosomal RNA". The record is from RNAcentral. Lineage: Eukaryota; Metazoa; Chordata; Actinopteri; Lampriformes; Trachipteridae.